AGCAGCCGCGGUAAAUUCCAGCUCCAAUAGCGUAUAUUAAAGUUGUUGCAGUUAAAAAGCUCGUAGUUGAAUUUCGGGAUCAAUACGUCGGUCGUGCCUUCGGUACGUACUAAUGUCAUUGAUUUCUCCCUUCUGAUGAAUCAUGAUGUCAUUAAUUUGAUGUUGUGGGGAGUCAGGACUGUUACUUUGAAAAAAUUAGAGUGUUUAAAGCAGGCACGCGCUUGAAUACAUUAGCAUGGAAUAAUGAAAUAGGACGUUCGAUUCUAUUUUGUUGGUUUCUAGGAUCAACGUAAUGAUUAAUAGGGAUAGUUGGGGGCGAUUAGUAUUCAAUUGUCAGAGGUGAAAUUCUUGGAUUUAUUGAAGACUAACUACUGCGAAAGCAUUUGCCAAGGAUGUUUUC
This 400-nucleotide ribosomal RNA is filed under the name uncultured Glomeromycotina. RNAcentral describes it as "SSU rRNA". It matches the Rfam family "Eukaryotic small subunit ribosomal RNA", at positions 569 to 971 of the family's 1831-position model. The record is from RNAcentral. Lineage: Eukaryota; Fungi; Glomeromycota.